CUACUAUGUGGAGGGCGAGGAAGACAAUGUCUACUACGAAGGGGCUGAAGAGUGGGAGAGCGACUGUUACGAAGAGGCCGACUUCUACUAUGAGGAUGAGGAAGAUGAGAACAUCUACUACGAGAUUGACUACUAUGGGGAGGAUGAGGAAGAGGAGGACGGGGAUGUUUACUACGAGUUUGGCUACUACGAGGUGGAGGAAGAGGAGGAGGAAGAGGAGCCAGCACAAUUGGUGGAGGAAGCAGUUGGCACUGGAGCCUCUGCUGCCACCAAGCAGUAAGCAAGUGUCUAAAAGUCCCAGUCCCCAGCUGCCGCCGCCCUUUUGCUUAAGCCUCGGGACUUUCUGCACAAUAACUGCCUUCCGAUAGCCCUCCACGAAAGCACCUUUCCCUCUGCUGUUCUACGCUCUGUCCUAUAGAAAAUAACUUACCUUGAUGAUCAGGGGUCUUGGUGGCUUGCCAUAUACCCUGAAGAAAAGCGGUGUGUGUGGUGUGCGCCUGCACCCUACAUAAACCUACCCCCAGCACUAGGCCGCUGCUCAACUGUCCUCUCGAGUGCCCUGGACUUUGCUGCCUUGAAAAAACGUGACAUUCUCAACAGUCAAAAGUUGUUACUCAAGAAAGUCUCUCAUCCUUGGAGUAUCACACCAUCAGAGAAACUACAAAUGGAAAUGGCUGGAAAAUGGCAUCUGGUCUUCAGGCUUGGGGAAAGAAGAUUUAGUGACGUGAUUUCCUGGUCAAUUGGUGACUUUCCAGGGGUGCCGUUUUGCCAUAGACUGUGGGUCUGGCCAACUGACUCAUUUUGUCCCAGCAUCCCACCUUCCACAUGGCGCAUGGUCUUUUUCUUCCAUUUAAUGAGAAAGUAGUAAGG
Molecule: long non-coding RNA, 870 nt
Organism: Chionomys nivalis (European snow vole)
Lineage: Eukaryota; Metazoa; Chordata; Mammalia; Rodentia; Cricetidae
Exons: 2
Source: RefSeq, a predicted model, not a curated record